CUAAGUAUAGCUUCCUUCUGAUAUUAAAAUACUAAAAUUUAUCCUGUAAAACUAAAGCACAGUUCCAUUUAAAGGAUAAAUUUCACAUAAUUCAACAAGUUGAAAAUAAUACUGAUAGUGUUAUAUUCUUUGUAAAGCCACAGAUACAGUAUAUAUAUAUAUAUAUCCAAAAAUAAACAGAAUAUAUUCCAAAAGAUAUAAUAGUUUUAUAAAACUAGUUUCCCAAUAUUAAGCUAAAUAUUUAUAUAAUAGGACCAUAUGAAUUGGAAACUAAAAGGAAUACUAACAAUUAUCAUCCCAGCCAUUCCUUUCACACAUAGCAAAACUGAGACAUAAAGCAGCUAAUUUUUUUACCCAAAAUCAUGAUUGAGAAAUCCAUAGUCUCAAACUAAGUUCUCUAAUUCCCGAGGACAUGUUAUUCUCAUCAUACCACAGUUCAAUGAAAAGAAAGCACAUUAUUUGAAAAUAUAUCAGCAUGUAGAGGGAUACUAAGUUUAUAUAUCUGUUGAAUGUUUGUAUACUUGAAUAUAUUUGUCGAUUUCUAGCACUGAUAAUUUUUAAGGUUUGAACUCUUAGAAUGCUGUAAUCAUGUAUGAGUACUUAACUGCUCAUAUAUUUAACCUUACUCUCAACUUAUCUGAGCAUUUCUUUUUAGAAAGGAUGAACAAUGAGAUUAAAACACAACAUGGUAAUAAUUUAAUACAAUUAGUUCUUAAGGGAAAGCUUAGAAAAAACUUCAUGUAGAUGAGCCAAUAAAUUUCUCAUGAGGAAAUAACACUGUGUUACACUUUGCAACAAAGGAAUCUUUACAAACCUCUCUAAUUAGAGACAGCAUCAGGGUAGGUAGCAUCCACCACCUCUACCAAGUUACCUUGCUUGGGAAUUCCAG
RNAcentral lists this long non-coding RNA (889 nucleotides) under Homo sapiens (human). Its description in RNAcentral is "HSALNT0109386". The record is from RNAcentral. Lineage: Eukaryota; Metazoa; Chordata; Mammalia; Primates; Hominidae.